ACGAGUUUUGACCGGGUUGUCGCUGGCCUUCCGAGGCAUGUGCACGCCCUGCUCAUCCACUCUACACCUGUGCACUUACUGUGGGUUUCAGAUCGUGUAGCGGGCCUUUGCGGGUUCGUGAAGCGGCCUGUGCCUGCGUUUAUUACAAACACUAUAAAGUAUCAGAAUGUGUAUCGCGAUGUAACGCAUCUAUAUA
RNAcentral lists this unclassified non-coding RNA (196 nucleotides) under uncultured fungus. Its description in RNAcentral is "sequence contains ITS1, 5.8S rRNA gene". Lineage: Eukaryota; Fungi. The record is from RNAcentral.